Molecule: transfer RNA, 54 nt
Filed under: Mecistocirrus digitatus
Lineage: Eukaryota; Metazoa; Nematoda; Chromadorea; Rhabditida; Trichostrongylidae
Description: tRNA-Thr
Source: RNAcentral
GCUUUUUUAGUUUAAUAAGAAUAAAUAAUUUGUAAUUAUUGGGUUUAAAAAGCU